This 433-nucleotide ribosomal RNA is filed under the name uncultured bacterium. RNAcentral's name for it is "partial 16S ribosomal RNA". It matches the Rfam family "Bacterial small subunit ribosomal RNA", at positions 29 to 507 of the family's 1533-position model. The record is from RNAcentral.
AACGAACGCUGGCGGCAUGCCUAACACAUGCAAGUCGAACGAGACCUUCGGGUCUAGUGGCGCACGGGUGCGUAACGCGUGGGAACCUGCCCUUAGGUUCGGCAUAACUCCCCGAAAGGGGUGCUAAUACCGGAUAAUGUCUUCGGACCAAAGAUUUAUCGCCUUUGGAUGGGCCCGCGUUGGAUUAGCUAGUUGGUAGGGUAAAAGCCUACCAAGGCGACGAUCCAUAGCUGGUCUGAGAGGAUGAGCAGCCACACUGGGACUGAGACGCGGCCCAGACUCCUACGGGAGGCAGCAGUGGGGAAUAUUGGACAAGGGGCGAAAGCCUGAUCCAGCAAUGCCGCGUGAGUGAUGAAGGCCUUAGGGUUGUAAAGCUCUUUUACCCGGGAUGAUAAUGACAGUACCGGGAGAAUAAGCUCCGGCUAACUCCGUG